GGCCAGACUCCUACGGGAGGCAGCAGUGGGGAAUAUUGCACAAUGGGGGAAACCCUGAUGCAGCGACGCCGCGUGAGUGAAGAAGUAUUUCGGUAUGUAAAGCUCUAUCAGCAGGGAAGAAAAUGACGGUACCUGAUUAAGAAGCCCCGGCUAACUACGUGCCAGCAGCCGCGGUAAUACGUAGGGGGCAAGCGUUAUCCGGAAUUACUGGGUGUAAAGGGAGCGUAGACGGUGAAGUAAGUCUGGAGUGAAAGGCGGGGGCCCAACCCCCGGACUGCUCUGGAAACUAUUUGACUGGAGUGCAGGAGAGGUAAGCGGAAUUCCUAGUGUAGCGGUGAAAUGCGUAGAUAUUAGGAGGAACACCAGUGGCGAAGGCGGCUUACUGGACUGUAACUGACGUUGAGGCUCGAAAGCGUGGGGAGCAAACAGGAUUAGAUACCCCUGUAGG
This 448-nucleotide ribosomal RNA is filed under the name uncultured bacterium. RNAcentral describes it as "bacterial SSU rRNA". It matches the Rfam family "Bacterial small subunit ribosomal RNA", at positions 329 to 794 of the family's 1533-position model. The record is from RNAcentral.